GACGAACGCUGGCGGCGUGCUUAACACAUGCAAGUCGAACGGUGAAGCGCCUUCCUUUUUGGUGGGUGUGGAUGAGUGGCGAACGGGUGAGUAACACGUGAGUAACCUGCCCCCUUCUUCUGGAUAACCGCAUGAAAGUGUGGCUAAUACGGGAUAUUCUGGGUCUGUCGCAUGAUGGGUCUGGGAAAGAUAUUGUUUCGGUGGGGGAUGGGCUCGCGGCCUAUCAGCUUGUUGGUGGGGUGAUGGCCUACCAAGGCGGUGACGGGUAGCCGGCCUGAGAGGGUGGACGGUCACACUGGGACUGAGACACGGCCCAGACUCCUACGGGAGGCAGCAGUGGGGAAUAUGGCACAAUGGGCGCAAGCCUGAUGCGGCGACGCCGCGUGAGGGAUGGAGGCCUUCGGGUUGUGAACCUCUUUCGCCAGUGAAGCAGGCCUGCCUCGUUUGUGGGUGGGUUGACGGUAGCUGGAUAAGAAGCGCCGGCUAACUACGUG
This 494-nucleotide ribosomal RNA is filed under the name uncultured bacterium. RNAcentral describes it as "partial 16S ribosomal RNA". It matches the Rfam family "Bacterial small subunit ribosomal RNA", at positions 28 to 507 of the family's 1533-position model. The record is from RNAcentral.